Molecule: ribosomal RNA, 633 nt
Filed under: uncultured Nesterenkonia sp.
Lineage: Bacteria; Bacillati; Actinomycetota; Actinomycetes; Micrococcales; Micrococcaceae
Description: bacterial SSU rRNA
Rfam family: Bacterial small subunit ribosomal RNA
Source: RNAcentral
AGCUAACGCAUUAAGUGCCCCGCCUGGGGAGUACGGCCGCAAGGCUAAAACUCAAAGGAAUUGACGGGGGCCCGCACAAGCGGCGGAGCAUGCGGAUUAAUUCGAUGCAACGCGAAGAACCUUACCAAGGCUUGACAUGGACCGGAUCGCUGCAGAGAUGUAGUUUCCCUUCGGGGCUGGUUCACAGGUGGUGCAUGGUUGUCGUCAGCUCGUGUCGUGAGAUGUUGGGUUAAGUCCCGCAACGAGCGCAACCCUUAUCCUAUGUUGCCAGCACGUAAUGGUGGGGACUCAUGGGAGACUGCCGGGGUCAACUCGGAGGAAGGUGAGGAUGACGUCAAAUCAUCAUGCCCCUUAUGUCUUGGGCUUCACGCAUGCUACAAUGGCCGGUACAGUGGGUUGCGAUACUGUGAAGUGGAGCUAAUCCCUAAAAGCCGGUCUCAGUUCGGAUCGAAGUCUGCAACUCGACUUCGUGAAGUUGGAGUCGCUAGUAAUCGCAGAUCAGCAACGCUGCGGUGAAUACGUUCCCGGGCCUUGUACACACCGCCCGUCACACCAUGGGAGUUUGUUGCACCAGAAGUAGCUAGCCUAACUGCAAAGAGGGCGGUUACCACGGUGUGGCCGAUGACUGGGGUG